CUGUAGGACACACUUCAGGACCAGUGCAAAUCCCCGCUGUUGCAGGACAUGGUGGAGUUGAAGCUGCAGGGUCCUACCAGUGGUGGAUUCCACCCUUACCCCCUGCCCCUCUGGGUCAGGUACUGCUCCCCAGAGGUCAGGGGUCAACCCCAGGAAUCUCCUGCAGGCCUCUUACCUGCUGUGUUGAGGGAAAUUGGACAGCACAGACCCUCUCUCUGGGGUUCCCAUGCUGGAGGCUGGACACAGGAACAGUUUUGAAGUUUGAUGUUUCCGUAUACAUUUUUAAAGGCCAUACUGUGACGUGACACUUUCAAGAUCUUACUUCUCCAACCAGAGAUUGAACCUGGGCCACAGCAGUGAACUUGCCGAGUCCAGACCACUGGAUCAGCAGGGAACUCCCCAUAUUUAUUGUUUAGUUUAUUUCUGUGUGUUCAGAUUUCAUAUUGCUAUUGUGGAUGAUGUUGUUUUGUAUCAUUAAUUAUGGUUAGUUUUCACUGAUCAUGUAGAUAAAUAGAAAAG
This is a long non-coding RNA of Bos taurus (domestic cattle), 519 nucleotides long. The record is from Ensembl. NCBI's taxonomy places the organism in Eukaryota, Metazoa, Chordata, Mammalia, Artiodactyla, Bovidae.